AUACGGGGGGUGCAAGCGUUAAUCGGAAUUACUGGGCGUAAAGCGCGCGUAGGCGGUUUGCUCAGUCGGAUGUGAAAGCCCAGGGCUCGACCUUGGAACUGCAUACGAUACUGGCAAACUAGAGUGUGAGAGAGGAUAGUGGAAUUUCCGGUGUAGCGGUGAAAUGCGUAGAUAUCGGAAGGAACAUCAGUGGCGAAGGCGACUGUCUGGCACAACACUGACGCUGAGGUGCGAAAGCGUGGGUAGCAAACAGGAUUAGAAACCCCUAGUAGUCC
RNAcentral lists this ribosomal RNA (275 nucleotides) under uncultured bacterium. Its description in RNAcentral is "partial 16S ribosomal RNA". It matches the Rfam family "Bacterial small subunit ribosomal RNA", at positions 523 to 796 of the family's 1533-position model. The record is from RNAcentral.